Molecule: ribosomal RNA, 468 nt
Filed under: uncultured bacterium
Lineage: Bacteria
Description: partial 16S ribosomal RNA
Rfam family: Bacterial small subunit ribosomal RNA
Source: RNAcentral
GACGAACGCUGGCGGCGUGCUUAACACAUGCAAGUCGAACGGAAAGGCCCUGCUUUUGUGGGGUGCUCGAGUGGCGAACGGGUGAGUAACACGUGAGUAACCUGCCCUUGACUUUGGGAUAACUUCAGGAAACUGGGGCUAAUACCGGAUAGGAGCUCCUGCUGCAUGGUGGGGGUUGGAAAGUUUCGGCGGUUGGGGAUGGACUCGCGGCUUAUCAGCUUGUUGGUGGGGUAGUGGCUUACCAAGGCUUUGACGGGUAGACGGCCUGGGAGGGGGACCGGCCACAUGGGGACUGAGAUACGGCCCAGACUCGUACGGGAGGCAGCAGUGGGGAAUAUUGCACAAUGGGCGGAAGCCUGAUGCAGCGACGCCGCGUGCGGGAUGACGGCCUUCGGGUUGUAAACCGCUUUCGACUGUGACGAAGCGUGAGUGACGGUAAUGGGUAAAGAAGCACCGGCUAACUACGUG